UCAUUUAGAUACUAUAUGAUUUGUGUUUGAUUGAUAUUAUCCAGAUGAUUUUAGAUUUGGGGUUCGGAUCACAUUUUUUCAAUUAAGUUGUAUGUUUAAAAAAAUUUAAAAUCCAUUUCUACUGCGCAACUGAAUCCCAACAAAUAGUAUAUAUAGACCAUAUACAAUACUUAUAAAACCAACCAACAAAAAAAUCCAUAAUAGAAUAUAGAGUUCAAAGACCCCUCGUAGUAUAU
This 236-nucleotide long non-coding RNA is filed under the name Elaeis guineensis (African oil palm). Its description in RNAcentral is "long non-coding RNA (EGUI_LNC050040)". The record is from RNAcentral. Lineage: Eukaryota; Viridiplantae; Streptophyta; Magnoliopsida; Arecales; Arecaceae.